AAAGCAAAAAAUAAAGGGGAAAACACUCUCUGCUAGGGUUUUCUUAACCCAUCAUCGCGCCGCCACUCAGCCUUCAUGCCCCGAUUUCGACGGAGAAGACGCCGGAUCGACGACUCCGGCGACCAGGUAAGGCUCUUCUCCCUUUCUUUUUAUUUUAAAUGAAAAAAUAAACAAGAAAAAUCCAAAAUAAAAAAAACACAAUUCACCUUCGAGAAAGAAAAAAAAUUUAAAUCUCGUUCUUUCUCUCUAUUUUCAAUAUGUUUUUUUACACCGAAAAAUCCCCCCUUUUUACAGAUUUUCCACGGCUUUAAAUAGCCGAAAUGGAAAAGGAAAAAUGAACCAAAUCAAACGAAUAGAAAAUCUAUUAUGUUCUUAUUGGCGUGAUUUUUGCUAUUCUGUUCGCGUUUGUUGCUGCAGGUACAAGGCGAGGCGAGGAAGGCGCGCAACUCGCGCGGAGAGGGACCCUGUCCCCGAGUCGUGCGGCGACUGGACUGCUGGAGGCGGCGGCCAAGAAUUUUCUAUUUAGGGUUUUGGUAGUUAAGGUGUGGGCCUAGGUUUAGUUUAUUUUUGUUUUGUAAUGGUCUGGGCCAAUUGGGCCUUAUUACAUAUCAAAUUGUACUUGUUUAUCCCAUUGAUGAAAAUAAUUUC
Molecule: long non-coding RNA, 648 nt
Filed under: Gossypium barbadense (sea-island cotton)
Lineage: Eukaryota; Viridiplantae; Streptophyta; Magnoliopsida; Malvales; Malvaceae
Description: long non-coding RNA (GBAR_LNC017535)
Source: RNAcentral